GCCAGUGUGGUGUAGUGGUUUGAGCACGGACUAGGACUCUGGAGACAAGGGUUCGAAUCCUGGCUCAGCCA
Non-coding RNA from Phrynosoma platyrhinos (Desert horned lizard), 71 nucleotides. The record is from the annotation of a GenBank genome assembly. NCBI's taxonomy places the organism in Eukaryota, Metazoa, Chordata, Lepidosauria, Squamata, Phrynosomatidae.